AUCUAUGGCCAUACCACACUGAAUGCGCCCCAUCUCGUCUGAUCUCGGAAGCUAAGCAGGGUUGGGCCUGGUUAGUACUUGGAUGGGAGACCACGUGAGGGAGCGAACUCACUGUUGCUC
Ribosomal RNA from Mustela putorius furo (domestic ferret), 120 nucleotides. The record is from Ensembl. Lineage: Eukaryota; Metazoa; Chordata; Mammalia; Carnivora; Mustelidae.